RNAcentral lists this ribosomal RNA (253 nucleotides) under uncultured bacterium. RNAcentral's name for it is "partial 16S ribosomal RNA". It matches the Rfam family "Bacterial small subunit ribosomal RNA", at positions 524 to 776 of the family's 1533-position model. The record is from RNAcentral.
GACAGAGGAUGCAAGCGUUAUCCGGAAUGAUUGGGCGUAAAGCGUCUGUAGGUGGCUUUUUAAGUCCGCCGUCAAAUCCCAGGGCUCAACCCUGGACAGGCGGUGGAAACUACCAAGCUGGAGUACGGUAGGGGCAGAGGGAAUUUCCGGUGGAGCGGUGAAAUGCGCAGAUAUCAGGAGGAACACCCGUAGCGAAGGCGGCACUCUGGGCCGAUACUGACACUGAGGAGCGAAAGCGUGGGGAGCGAACAGG